RNAcentral lists this ribosomal RNA (462 nucleotides) under uncultured bacterium. RNAcentral describes it as "partial 16S ribosomal RNA". It matches the Rfam family "Bacterial small subunit ribosomal RNA", at positions 28 to 507 of the family's 1533-position model. The record is from RNAcentral.
GACGAACGCUGGCGGCGUGCUUAACACAUGCAGGUCGAGCGGAAAGGCCCUUCGGGGUACUCGAGCGGCGAACGGGUGAGCAACACGUGAGUAACCUGCCCCAGACUUUGGGAUAACCCUCGGAAACGGGGGCUAAUACCGGAUACGACACAGCUUCGCAUGGGGUCUGUGUGGAAAGUUUUUCGGUUUGGGAUGGGCUCGCGGCCUAUCAGCUUGUUGGUGGGGUGAUGGCCUACCAAGGCGACGACGGGUAGCCGGCCUGAGAGGGCGACCGGCCACACUGGGACUGAGACACGGCCCAGACUCCUACGGGAGGCAGCAGUGGGGAAUAUUGCACAAUGGGCGGAAGCCUGAUGCAGCGACGCCGCGUGAGGGAUGACGGCCUUCGGGUUGUAAACCUCUUUCAGCAGGGACGAAGCGUAAGUGACGGUACCUGCAGAAGAAGCGCCGGCCAACUACGUG